AGAGUUUGAUCCUGGCUCAGAUUGAACGCUGGCGGCAUGCCUUACACAUGCAAGUCGAACGGCAGCACGGGUGCUUGCACCUGGUGGCGAGUGGCGAACGGGUGAGUAAUAUAUCGGAACGUACCUUAUCGUGGGGGAUAACGCAGCGAAAGCUGCGCUAAUACCGCAUACGCCCUGAGGGGGAAAGCGGGGGACCGUAAGGCCUCGCGCGAUUAGAGCGGCCGAUAUCUGAUUAGCUUGUUGGUGGGGUAAAAGCCCACCAAGGCGACGAUCAGUAGCUGGUCUGAGAGGACGAUCAGCCACACUGGGACUGAGACACGGCCCAGACUCCUACGGGAGGCAGCAGUGGGGAAUUUUGGACAAUGGGGGCAACCCUGAUCCAGCAAUGCCGCGUGAGUGAAGAAGGCCUUCGGGUUGUAAAGCUCUUUUGUCAGGGAAGAAACAGCAGCUCUAACACAGUCUGCGAAUGACGGUACCUGAAGAAUAAGCACCGGCUAACUACGUGCCAGCAGCCGCGGUAAUACGUAGGGUGCAAGCGUUAAUCGGAAUUACUGAGCGUAAAGCGUGCGCAGGCGGUUAUACAAGACAGGCGUGAAAUCCCCGGG
Molecule: ribosomal RNA, 605 nt
Filed under: uncultured freshwater bacterium
Lineage: Bacteria
Description: bacterial SSU rRNA
Rfam family: Bacterial small subunit ribosomal RNA
Source: RNAcentral